CAAAAGAAAGAGCUCAACUUACAUAUAACUUAUUUACUUACACUUACAUAUAAAUGUAGCGACUCAGAGAAGUCAGCAAGAACAAUAAUUACCGUUCGUUUAUCGAAUAGUAUACGAUAAUCGUUCGUCUAUCGAGUAAUAAUAAUUAUCAUUUGUCUAUCGAGCAUAUUAAUUAAUUACCGUUCGUCAACCGAAUAAUUACUAUUGUCUAUCGAAGAGUUAGUUAUCGUUUUGUCAACCGAAGAAUUUUAUAUCCGUCAGUCUGUCAGUCAAUUGUCAACAUCGAAAUCAAAUAUCAUAAUAUUGUCAUCCGAAAAAGUGCUUCUGGACUGUUGAGGUUAUCUGAUAGAGGAACGCGUGGAUACAUUUAUAAUAGAAAUAUAUAUACAAGUAAGCAUAAGUAUAGGUAUAGUAUAUGCCGAUCCAGAUCAUCACUUUAGCAGUGUCACAUUACAAUAGAAUAUAAUAGGGAGCAGGUUGAUACAUUGACAGCAAACGACAUUACCAAAAAAUUAACCUUGACCUUGUGACCCAAAAACAACAUUCAUAUUCAAGGACGCAAUAAUAUGGACCUCUCCUUUUCGUUAACUUUUUUGCUUCACCAAGUUCUAUUUUCAUCGUAACAGCGGUGUCCAGGUCACGGGUAUACAAACAAAGAAGAUGUAGAGUUUUUCUAGAGGUAAAUACUUUAACAAGGACAAAGCAUUACAUUGCAAAUAAUUUUUUUAAUAAACCAUGUAUCAAUAUUACUUUUAUAACAGUUUAAUAGUCUUAUUAUUGUUGACAAUCGUGGAUCUUUGUCGCCGAAAUAAACGCAUAGCAACACUCACAUUACACGUAGAAAUGAUAUUAAAAUAGGUUCAUAUUUAUUUAAUAUGUGAUUUAUUAUCUGUUAUAUAUUAGGUUA
Molecule: long non-coding RNA, 907 nt
Organism: Bombus terrestris (buff-tailed bumblebee)
Lineage: Eukaryota; Metazoa; Arthropoda; Insecta; Hymenoptera; Apidae
Exons: 3
Source: RefSeq, a predicted model, not a curated record